AUUGAACGCUGGCGGCAGGCCUAACACAUGCAAGUCGAGCGCGAAAGUUCUUCGGAAUGAGUAAAGCGGCGGACGGGUGAGUAAUACAUGGGAAUCUGCCUGGUAGUGGGGGACAACGUUUCGAAAGGAACGCUAAUACCGCAUACGCCCUACGGGGAAAGGGGGGAGUCGUUCGGACCUCUCGCUAUCAGAUGAGCCCA
This 200-nucleotide ribosomal RNA is filed under the name uncultured bacterium. RNAcentral's name for it is "partial 16S ribosomal RNA". It matches the Rfam family "Bacterial small subunit ribosomal RNA", at positions 30 to 233 of the family's 1533-position model. The record is from RNAcentral.